This 351-nucleotide ribosomal RNA is filed under the name uncultured bacterium. RNAcentral describes it as "partial 16S ribosomal RNA". It matches the Rfam family "Bacterial small subunit ribosomal RNA", at positions 338 to 706 of the family's 1533-position model. The record is from RNAcentral.
CCUACGGGAGGCAGCAGUGGGGGAUAUUGCACAAUGGGGGGAACCCUGAUGCAGCGACGCCGCGUGGGUGAAGAAGCGCCUCAGCGCGUAAAGCCCUGUCAGCAGGGAAGAAAAUGACGGUACCUGAAGAAGAAGCCCCGGCUAACUACGUGCCAGCAGCCGCGGUAAUACGUAGGGGGCAAGCGUUAUCCGGAUUUAAUGGGUGUAAAGGGGGCGCAGACGGCGAUGCAAGGCAGGAGUGAAAGCCCGGGGCCCAACCCCGGGAUUGCUCGUGGAACUGGGUGGCUGGAGGGCAGGAGGGGGGGGGGGACUUCGUGGUGUAGGGGGGAAAUGCGUAGAGAGGGGGAGGAA